Hemiscyllium ocellatum (epaulette shark) is the source of this 74-nucleotide non-coding RNA. The record is from the annotation of a RefSeq genome assembly. Lineage: Eukaryota; Metazoa; Chordata; Chondrichthyes; Orectolobiformes; Hemiscylliidae.
GGCGCCAGGGCUUAGAUGGUUAAAGUGCCUGUUUAGUAAACAGGAGAUCCUGGGUUCAAAUCCCAGUGGUGCCU